ACAUAUAGGGGAUUUAUGGGGUCAUUUGGGGACAAUAGGGGACAUAUAGGGACAAUAUGGGUCAUAAAGGGACAUAUGGGGGCAUAUAGGGACAAUAUGGCACAUAUAGGGACAUAUGGGGACAAUAUGGAUCAUAUGGAGACAUAUGGGGACAUAUAGGGACAAUAUGGGGACAUAUAGGGUCAUAUAGGGUCAUAUGGGGACAAUAGGGGACAUAUAGGGACAUAUGGGGACAUAUAGGAACAAUAUGGGUCAUAUAGGGACAAUAUGGCACAUAUAGGGACAUAUGGGGUCAUAUAGGGUCAUAUGGGGACAAUAGGGGACAUAUAGGGACAUAUGGGGACAUAUAGGGACAUAUGGGGGACAUAUAGGGACAUAUGGGGUCAUAUAGGGACAAUAUGGCACAUAUAGGGACAUAUAGGGACAUAUGGGAACA
Molecule: long non-coding RNA, 436 nt
Filed under: Gallus gallus (chicken)
Lineage: Eukaryota; Metazoa; Chordata; Aves; Galliformes; Phasianidae
Description: lncRNA (ENSGALG00010000425.1)
Source: RNAcentral